Molecule: unclassified non-coding RNA, 309 nt
Filed under: Hevea brasiliensis (rubber tree)
Lineage: Eukaryota; Viridiplantae; Streptophyta; Magnoliopsida; Malpighiales; Euphorbiaceae
Source: RNAcentral
GAAUACCUCCAGCGAAAAUCCCAGAACUGUCAACAGAUAAUGCAGCAGUCAGGGUCCCAGCAGACAUGCACGUGCUCAUAGCAGGACCAAGAAAAGUACCAGAAGGGGAUGAAGGGUUCAUAGGUACAUAAGCAGGAACUGAAGACAAGCAAUCUUCCUCAAAAACUGAAGGCAAUGGAUGGCCCAUAAGUGGGGCAACAGAAUCAGAAGGAUGCCGGGUUAGCCCAUCAGCAGAAACCAUAUCUAAUAGUGUGAGUUGAGGUUGUACAGAAGAGAAAUCAAAUUGGUCAUGUUGGGUAGUGGUAAAUU